UCUUCCUCAUUUAGCUGGACUGGCUCGUCAGAAUCAGAUGAGAAUGGUGAAAGAAUCAUCAUCAUCAUCUGAUUCAACUCUUCCCUUUGAUCAUAACAACGUAACACGUGAUGCUGGAGUAGCCCUUUUUGCUGCUUCUGCUGCUGUCACUAAGCCGACUCUAACAUCUGCAUGAUCUCUCUUUGUAACUCUAGCGGAAGAUGCUCGCCCAAUGAUUGAUUCACCAGCUAGUAGUUAGUUGGUAGGGACAACCUCACCCGUGUGUAAGCUAAGAGAGGCAUAAUCCUCCUAUACUGAGCUGGACGUUGCAGAUCUUGCUUCUUCGGAUCUUUCUGACUCUCACUCGUAGGCAGAUGAUUCGUAUGUAGAUGCUCA
This 375-nucleotide long non-coding RNA is filed under the name Panax ginseng (ginseng). RNAcentral's name for it is "long non-coding RNA (PGIN_LNC010877)". Lineage: Eukaryota; Viridiplantae; Streptophyta; Magnoliopsida; Apiales; Araliaceae. The record is from RNAcentral.